GGUGGGAUGACGUCAAAUCAUCAUGCCUUAUGAUCUGGGCUACACACGUGCUACAAUGGAUGGUACAGAGAGCAGCGAGGCCGCGAGGCGGAGCGAAUCUCAAAAGCCAUUCUCAGUUCGGAUUGCAGUCUGCAACUCGACUGCAUGAAGCCGGAGUUGCUAGUAAUCGCGAAUCAGCAUGUCGCGGUGAAUACGUUCCCGGGCCUU
This 207-nucleotide ribosomal RNA is filed under the name uncultured Syntrophomonas sp. RNAcentral describes it as "partial 16S ribosomal RNA". It matches the Rfam family "Bacterial small subunit ribosomal RNA", at positions 1173 to 1382 of the family's 1533-position model. Lineage: Bacteria; Bacillati; Bacillota; Clostridia; Eubacteriales; Syntrophomonadaceae. The record is from RNAcentral.